Molecule: long non-coding RNA, 1811 nt
Organism: Equus caballus (horse)
Lineage: Eukaryota; Metazoa; Chordata; Mammalia; Perissodactyla; Equidae
Source: Ensembl
ACAUUUACCUUUUUAUUGCUGGGCCUCAGGGCCAAUAAAAUUAUAGCUUGUGCAAUUCAUUUUCAUAAUGCAUUGAUUGCUUUAAUCAUAUGUUUUCUCCCAAGUGUCUGAGAGGGUUGGGGAGAGUGGCCACGAAAGUGUCAGGGUCCAUCACUGAAAGGGAAACCCAGAUUCUCUUUGACUUAAGAGGCCUGAUCACUGGGAGGCGCCCUCUGGGCCUGGGCCGUUGCGUCUGGUUUUAGCGUGUGUUUGCUAGAGCGGUUGUGGCCUGUGUAAGCGCAGUAGCCCCAGCUCCUGGGGAGUGUUAGGGAGGACUCUGACGGCUCCGUGCACUCCCAGUGCGGGGUCUCACAUCAUCAAGGUCCUACUGACGAGGGCUGGCUCAGGUCACUUUUAUGACAAAACAGCUGUGACCUGCUGAUAAAACAACAGGGCCUGCGAACAGAGGAAUUCCCCACGUGCCAUGGACACAGACCGCAGAGGCAGAGUGACUCUGCAGUUAAUGCCUCUUAAGUGUUUUCUGACUUCUGGCUCUGCGUCUCUGGACGAACAGCGAUGGUGGACUGGUUGCUGGUGUUCCAUUGGAAUUCUGGAGCCACAGAAAUUUAAGAGCGGAAGGGUGUGACCUGAGAGACGGGAUUGUGAAUGAAAAUACGUACAGAGCCCACUCACAUCGGUGAGGCAGGAUGGCAGGAGGCAAUUGGAAGCCAUACAGAUGGCAGAGAGUGUCUCAGCCACGAAGACAGCCCCUGCACACUCCAGCUGUCUGUGCUCCACAGGAUGACAUCGAUGAGGCUGGAGCGGCCACCUGUUAAAGGAGAAAUCCAGAAUGUUCUUGUGAAAUCUUUCAAUUUUAAAGUGUUGAUGGCUGCCAAAUCUUAUAACCUUUGUAUUCUGUUCAGUAAACAUAAUUCCUGCCUCUUUUUUCUUUUUACAUUCAUCUUUCGAUGGGCUCAAUCUUAUGAUCUCAAAUAGUUUUAAUUAAUUUGUUAAGUUAUUAAUUUAGAGCUCAUAUGUGGGAAAUUUCCUGUGGGUUGAAGUAUUUAAGAAUGGCUGACAUUUAUUUGCAUGGAAUCAGGCCUUGGUUAUAGACUGGUCUUAGGUCACAAUGUUUUUCCUUAAUCCUUUGAAAAUUUCAGACUUUCUUCACCCUGUCAAUUCUGCUUAUUUUCUUCCUGGAACCAUAAAGAAUCUUUUCUUUAUUUAAUUACUUAUUUAAAUAAAGUUAUAGAUGUAUAUAAUUUUAAGAAACCUAACAGUUGUACUACACCUGCAGUGAAAGCAUAGUACCUCCUAACGCAACUUUUAAAACUUGAGAGAGGCAGGAGAGUUUGUAAGAGUGGUAAAUGUCUCUCAAAGCCCCUCUAAAAUGGAAACAUGUUUAAAGAAAUAAAACACAAUGAUUCUAAAAAAUAAUUUUGAUAGAAAUUGGUUUACUAAAAUAGUGGGCCACGUGAAAUACAUCCACAGGCCAGAUUCAGCUCAGAGGCCGUCACUGUUCAGUUCCAGGUUACGAGAUACAUUUAGCAACCUGAGACUGUCUGCCCAGCCAAGGGUGGGUAACUAAUGGUUUCCCCAGGGUCAGCAUGAGGAGGGCAGGUUGGGGAGCAGUGAUGUCUCCUCUCUAUCCUUGAGGCGACUGGGGGCUCACCCUACAGUGUGGUUUCGAGUUGCCCCCCGUGAAGAUCUCUGCGCUGUUGGGUCCCACCGACGCCUCGCCCUUCAAAUCCUUUUAUCCUUAGAUUCAGCACCUGGUCUGGCCCUUGGUGUUGAUUUCCCAGCAUGUUGUGAGAAUCUUAAGGAAAGGACCA